CAGCCGCCACGGGAAUACGGAGGGGGCUAGCGUUGUUCGGAAUUACUGGGCGUAAAGCGCACGUAGGCGGCUUGGUAAGGUAGAGGUGAAAGCCUGGAGCUCAACUCCAGAAUUGCCUUUAAGACUGCCGAGCUAGCAGGUGAGAGAGGUAAGUGGAAUUCCGAGUGUAGAGGUGAAAUUCGUAGAUAUUCGGAAGAACACCAGUGGCGAAGGCGGCUUACUGGCUCAUACUGGACGCUGAGGUGCGAAAGCGUGGGGAGCAAACAGGAUUAGAUACCCGCGUAGUCCCUGUCUCUUAUAC
This 301-nucleotide ribosomal RNA is filed under the name uncultured bacterium. Its description in RNAcentral is "partial 16S ribosomal RNA". It matches the Rfam family "Bacterial small subunit ribosomal RNA", at positions 509 to 807 of the family's 1533-position model. The record is from RNAcentral.